UUCCAAUCAAAAGGGAAGCAUUUUGGCUAAGAUCAAAUGUAGUUCUCUGUUUCUAUUAGCCUAAUAUCUGAUGCAUCUGCUUUAUAAGAACAAUUCAUUAAAUGGAAUUUUGGAGCUGGAAGUUAGAAUAGGAGCUUGCUCUAUACUCUUCAUGCAUUGCAGUCCCUCCAGGAAUUGCACCCGCC
Molecule: small nuclear RNA, 185 nt
Organism: Suncus etruscus (white-toothed pygmy shrew)
Lineage: Eukaryota; Metazoa; Chordata; Mammalia; Eulipotyphla; Soricidae
Product: U2 spliceosomal RNA
Exons: 1
Source: RefSeq, a predicted model, not a curated record